AGAGUUUGAUCCUGGCUCAGGAUGAACGCUAGCGGCAGGCUUAAUACAUGCAAGUCGUGGGGCAGCAUGAAUGUAGCAAUACAUUUGAUGGCGACCGGCAAACGGGUGCGGAACACGUACACAAUCUUCCUAUAAGUGGGGAAUAGCCCAGAGAAAUUUGGAUUAAUACCCCGUAACAUAACGAUGUGGCAUCACAUUGUUAUUAUAGCUUCGGCGCUUAUUGAUGGGUGUGCGGCUGAUUAGAUAGUUGGCGGGGUAACGGCCCACCAAGUCUACGAUCAGUAGCUGAUGUGAGAGCAUGAUCAGCCACACGGGCACUGAGACACGGGCCCGACUCCUACGGGAGGCAGCAGUAAGGAAUAUUGGUCAAUGGACGCAAGUCUGAACCAGCCAUGCCGCGUGAAGGAUUAAGGUCCUCUGGAUUGUAAACUUCUUUUAUCUGGGACGAAAAAAGGCUAUUCUUAGUCACUUGACGGUACCAGAUGAAUAAGCACCGGCUAACUCCGUGCCAGCAGCCGCGGUAAUACGGAGGGUGCAAGCGUUAUCCGGAUUCACUGGGUUUAAAGGGUGCGUAGGCGGGCAGGUAAGUCAGUGGUGAAAUCCUGGAGCUUAACUCCAGAACUGCCAUUGAUACUAUCUGUCUUGAAUAUUGUGGAGGUAAGCGGAAUAUGUCAUGUAGCGGUGAAAUGCUUAGAUAUGACAUAGAACACCUAUUGCGAAGGCAGCUUACUACGCAUAUAUUGACGCUGAGGCACGAAAGCGUGGGGGAUCAAACAGGAUUAGAUACCCUGGGUAGUCCACGCCCUAAACGAUGGAUACUCGACAUACGCGAUACACUGUGUGUGUCUG
RNAcentral lists this ribosomal RNA (849 nucleotides) under uncultured bacterium. RNAcentral describes it as "bacterial SSU rRNA". It matches the Rfam family "Bacterial small subunit ribosomal RNA", at positions 8 to 849 of the family's 1533-position model. The record is from RNAcentral.